AUGGCCCACAAUGCUUUGCCACAGCAAUUAGGUUGCCCCUUGCUAAUCUCUCAGAAGCUAAACAGGGUCAGGCCCAGGCAGUAGUUGGAUGGGAGACCACUGGGAAUGUCUCAUGUUGUGGGCUGGA
This 127-nucleotide ribosomal RNA is filed under the name Salvator merianae (Argentine black and white tegu). Lineage: Eukaryota; Metazoa; Chordata; Lepidosauria; Squamata; Teiidae. The record is from RNAcentral.